Molecule: long non-coding RNA, 835 nt
Organism: Frieseomelitta varia
Lineage: Eukaryota; Metazoa; Arthropoda; Insecta; Hymenoptera; Apidae
Exons: 4
Source: RefSeq, a predicted model, not a curated record
GAUUGGUUAAUAAUUUUGGAAAAGCAGUAUUUUCCUAAGCAAACACUUUAUUUAUCCCUUUUCCUAUAAUAAAAUUUUUCUUUCAGAGAAUUUUUGUGACCGUGUGCAAUGCGGUUGGUAGAGUCAGUGUUUAUUCCGUCAUGUAAUUAUCAAUAUUUCUUAGAGCACAAUAGCUCUCAUUAAAUUUAAUUAGAAUAUAAUUUAAUACGCGAAAUUAGAGUCAGUGAGUUCGCCGAUUGUUAUAAACGGACAUGUUGUAGUCUUUUAUUUUCUUUUUUUUUUUUUAAUAUUCGCUUUCGGUAGUAGAAUUGCAGGUCUCGCAAGAGGACACAGCCUCUCCUGGAGCACAAGAAUAUUUUUCACUACCAUUUUUUCCUGUUCUUUGGAAGGAGAUACUAGUGCUUCAAAACUAAGCAUGUUUUUACUCCUUCCUUUUACGGAAGGUUUUUACUCCACCCUUCGUUCCCUGGGAAGGAUGUAAUGGUGCAUUAAAAGCCAAGAGUAUUUUUUUCAGUUUUCAUUUCUUUCAUUCGGCGAUUCCUGCUGACUAAUGAGCUUCACGAUAACUCUUUUUAGACCACUCUUCUUGUUAGACCAAUGUCAUGACAACAUUCUUCGCAUCUAAUCGUGAGUCGCAUGCUUUUCUGUUCCUCUAGUCACUCAAUCAUGUCGUAGGAUGAAAGGUCCGAAUCGACACGAGUGAUUGGUUGUAUUACAUAGAAUUUUUGACGGGCAUAGUGACCAUAGCUAUUUAUUAUAGCUGUGAGUAGUAACAUUUUUUGCUUAUAUUUUAUUUAUUAGUUCAGGAUAGGUUUUCUUGCACAUCGCGUUUUUU